GUGAGCUGCGUUCUCUACGGGAGGAGAUUUCCCUGUUAGAGCAUGAGAAAGAAAGCGAACUUAAGGAAAUAGAACGGGAAUUGCAUUUGGCCCAGGCUGAGAUCCAGAGUCUGCGGCAAGCAGCAGAGGAUUCUGCAACUGAACACGAGAGUGACAUAGCAUCCCUGCAGGAGGAUCUCUGCCGGAUGCAGAAUGAACUUGAAGACAUGGAACGCAUUCGGGGAGAUUAUGAGAUGGAGAUUGCCUCCCUCCGUGCAGAAAUGGAAAUGAAGAGCUCUGAACCAUCCAGUAGUUUAGGUCUCUCAGAUUACUCUGGGUUGCAAGAAGAACUGCAGGAGCUGCGGGAACGCUACCAUUUCCUGAAUGAGGAAUACCGGGCCCUGCAGGAGAGCAACAGCAGCCUCACGGGGCAGCUUGCAGAUCUGGAGAGUGAGAGGACACAGAGAGCAACAGAGAGAUGGCUGCAGUCCCAAACACUGAGUAUGACGUCAGCAGAGUCUCAGACUUCAGAAAUGGAUUUCUUAGAGCCUGAUCCUGAAAUGCAGUUGUUACGGCAGCAGCUACGGGAUGCUGAAGAGCAGAUGCAUGGCAUGAAGAACAAGUGUCAGGAAUUGUGUUGUGAGUUGGAAGAGCUACAGCAUCAUCGCCAGGUCAGUGAGGAGGAGCAGAGGCGGCUGCAGAGGGAACUCAAGUGUGCUCAGAAUGAGGUGCUUCGGUUUCAGACCUCCCACAGUGUCACCCAGAACGAGGAGCUGAAAUCCAGACUCUGUACCCUGCAGAAAAAAUAUGAUACUAGCCAGGAUGAGCAGAACGAGCUCUUGAAGAUGCAGCUGCAACUUCAGACUGAGCUCCGGCAGCUCAAAGUCAUGAAAUCUACACUUGUAGAAAACCAGAGUGAGAAGGUAACAGCAACCAGAGGUGAGGGGACAACUUAGGUGCUAAGGGCAUCCUUCUGAGGUUUUGGGGAAGGUGGAUGAGAGUAGUGAGUUAAAAAUAAUUCCACCAACCACAUAGGCAGCACCACAGGUAAAGAACUCCAGCCCUGCUCGAGUACUACAUUAGAUAUGAGGACAUUAGGAAGUGAAGGGCAGGAAGAAGCAAAUCUUAGACUGUUGGUGUCAAGUGACUCACACAGAAGAGUGAGUGGGUUAAGGAGCCCAAAGGCACUGCCCAAAGCCCCCUCUACCAUAGGAGUUACUGUGCCGGCUGCAGAAGCUGCAGCUCCAGCACCAGAACGUCACAUGUGAGAAGGAAAAGCUGCUGGAACGGCAGCAGCAGCUGCAGGAGGAGCUGCAGUGCCAUGAGGCAGAGCUGCAGCACCUCAGGGAUACGGUGGCCUCCUUCAAAGAGAGCAGUGAGAAGGACACAGAGACGCACACUCAGCUUCAGGAGAUGAAGCAGCUGUACCAGGCCAGCAAGGAUGAGCUGGAGCGGCAGAAGCACAUGUAUGACCAGCUGGAGCAGGACCUCCUGCUCUGCCAGCUGGAGCUGAAAGAGCUCAAGGCCUCCCAGCCCAUUCUGGAGGACAAAGGAAAGUGUGCUAAUAAGUGUGACACACUGCUGUCCAGACUGACAGAAUUGCAGGAAAAGUACAAGGCCAGCCAGAAGGAGAUGGGGCAGCUGCAGAUGGAGCAGUGUGAGCUCCUGGAGGAUCAGAGGAGGAUGCAGGAGGAGCAGGGCCAGCUGCAGGAAGAGCUGCACAGGCUCACACUGCCACUGCCCAAGAGUGGCCUCUUACUCAAGAGUCAGGAGCUACUCACCAAAUUAGAAGACCUGUGUGAGCUGCAGCUGCUCUACCAAGGCAUGCAGGAGGAACAGAAGAAGCUGAUACAGAACCAAGACUGUGUAUUAAAAGAACAAUUAGAGAUCCACGAAGAGCUGCGACAUUUCAAAGAGUCUCAUUUCCAGGAAGUGUUGGAGAAUCCUGAUGAUUCCAAAUUGGCUAAGUCCUCAAAAUGUAAUCGAAACAAGAUCUCAUCCUGGAUAUCAGCAGCCAAGAAGCCAGGCCCAGAGAGCCUGGGAAACAUGCCCAGAGGCCAGAUUCAGAAUAGGGGCAGGAGAUACAGGAACUAAUACAAUCCAAGCUGCUUAUGGAGCAGAUGCAGGCCCUGCAGGUGCUGUAUGAAGCCGGUCAGGCGGAGCAGGAGCUCUUGCAGCAAGAGCAAGGGAGGCUCCUAGAGGAGCGGAAGAGGCUGCAGGCAGACUUGCAGCUCUGCCUGGAAGAAAUGCAGCUGCUUCAAGUCCAGUCCCCUUCUAUAAAAAUGAGCCUUGAGUCCUACGGGAAGAGCUAUGGUAGCAUGGUCCCCAGCAAUGAGAACUGUCGCAAGACUUAUGAUACCACUGUGGAUGACGAUGAGAGCUAUUACAAGAGUUACACCAGCACCCAGACCAGCAGCGAGAGCUUUCUCAAGAGCUAUGACAGCAGCACCAGUGCCAGUGAGGCCUAUGGGAAGAGUUACUGCACCACCAGCAACAGCAGCAUUACCUAUAAGAAGAGUUAUGGCAGCACCAGUAGCUCUGACACCUGCCAGAAGAGUUUUGUCAGCAGCUGCACUGACGAGGAACCUGCUGAGCCUGAAGACAUGGAGCGCUUUGAGGAAAUGGUUGCGAAGGUGCUGAUCAAGCUGCAGGCGGUGCAGGCCAUGUACCAGAUAAGCCAGGAGGAACACAGCCAGCUGCAAGAGCAGAUGGAAAAAUUACUGGCCAAGCAGAAAGACUUGAAGGAAGAGCUGGAUGCCUGUGAAAGGGAGUUCAAGGAGUGCAUGGAAUGCCUUGAAAAGCCCUUGGCCCCCCAGAGCGACAAGAAUGAGAUCAAAGAACUGCAGACCAAGCUGCGGGAGCUGCAGCUGCAAUACCAGGCUAGCAUGGAUGAGCAGGGGCGGCUUCUGGUAGUGCAGGAGCAGCUGGAGGGGCAGCUACAGUGCUGCCAGGAGGAGCUCCGCCAGCUCAGGGAGAAGAGGCCCUCUGUUGUCAAAGAAGCCCGGGGGAAGAAUGCUAAUAAGAACGUGAACAAGAACGCCAAUGGGGUUAAAAUGAAAAAGGUGACCAAACCACGCUCGGAUACUUCUGAGAGCGACCUUGAGACCAGAAAGAGUCUGGAGGUAGUGCUGUACUACAAGGCCAGCCAGAGGAAAUUAGAUGGACUAGCAAAAGAGGAGGAAAAGAAAGAGGAGAUGGAGGAGGAAAAAAAGGAGGAAGUGAAAGAGGAAGCAAAGGAGCAGUGUGGGGAUGAGCUAGUUGCUGAGCCAGCAGAUCCUGGGGAAGCUAAAUCCACAGAAGAUCAGGAGGAAAAUGAAGAGGACAAAGAGGAAGAGGAGAAGGAAGAAGACAGUGAAGAGGAGGAAGAUGACGUUGACCCUUCCCUUGAAAGUGCCGAAGAAAACAACCCCCUCAGACUUUCCGAGAGCAAAAAGAACAUGUUUGGGUUGUGGAAGCCUAUGGUAUUCUUGGCUAUUGCAGCUGUGGCUCUGUAUGUGUUACCCAACAUGCGACAGCAGGAGUCAGAGUUCUGCCUCAUGGAGUGAUGGCAGACCUUGGCCAGCGCGAGGGCAGAUCCCCAGUGGCCACCACCCUCAGCUUUGGGCAGGACACACUGUGCCAGAACCCUCCCCAUAUGUUCCAUGUGUCCCCAUCUCCUCAGCCUCAGUCACCCAGGCUGAAAAGGCUUGUGGGGAGCAGCUGACUUCCAUCUCCUGCCUUGUGUAAGAACCUGAGUUCCUUGUAAUUAAAUAUCAACUGAAUUACA
Molecule: small RNA, 3745 nt
Filed under: Pongo abelii (Sumatran orangutan)
Lineage: Eukaryota; Metazoa; Chordata; Mammalia; Primates; Hominidae
Description: retained intron
Source: RNAcentral